CACUUAACAUUUAAAAAGUAUGAUCGCGUUUAUUAACUGACGAAAUUUCACUAGGUGCGUUCUCUUGCGAAAAAAUAUUUCGAAACAAAAUUGUGAAAUACUGAUUAUUCCUAUUCAAGAAGAUUAACAUAUUUUUAAGCGCGGCACGUCACUUUGCGAAUUCGACUACGACAGAUGGCUGUCAGUGUCUGAAUGUUGAGUAAUAACUGUUCAUUGGAUCUACUUAUUUUACAGUGUACCGUAGAAGAAUUCGGUACAAAUGUUUUAGUUUUAGUGUAGUAUGUUUGGAAUGUCCGCUCCGGAUGUACGAGAGAUAUUUUACUUUAAAAGAGACAUUAAUCACCUCAGAUUGAACGAAUGCUUCUAAGAAUAUAUGAAAGCUUAUUAUGCAAUCAAACAUCUUUACUUCAGUGAUCGCGUGAAAUUCAACACCCGAAGAAUUAAUAUUAUAUUAUCAUGCACUAUAGUUUCGCUGUGUAUUUUAAUGAUCAUAAUAAUAUUAAGUAUUAUUUUUUUGUCCUUUGAAUGUUUUUGUAUUAUCUUACUCAUAUAAUGGAUAGAUUUUUAUAUGAACUUGAUCAUAUCAUUAAUAAGGUGACGGUUUUAUUUGUUUUUGGGGGCUUUAUUAGCCCGCGCUAGUAGGCAGUGCCUCUCUGUCUGAAUUCGUCGUGGCCUAAAGGAUAAGACGCCCGGUUCAUUCGUAUCGGCCGAUGUUCGAAUCUCUCAUGCAGGUACCAAUUUUUUCUAAUGAAAUGCGUGCUUAGCUCACGUUCUCUUUUUUUUUAUCCUACCUAAGCUGAUGGUCUUGAGAGACCAUAUCAGCGUCGCCGGGAGAGUAGAUGAGCUCACGGGGCUCAAACCUUACGUCGUUGGUAGCACGAACCCUAGCAAGAGCCGUGCUUCACAGAAUCUACCACCGGAUCGGCACGGACGCGACCCACUGAGAAGAUUCGUCUAGAAACUCAGUGGGCUGAGUCUGUAGGUUAAUUUACUCGCCGAGCCCUGACCGGUGCUUGGGGUACCUAAAAGCACCGUUAGUGGAUUGGGAGGAUCCGAAAUGACGGAUUUUGGGCGACGUCGACUGUUUACCAUUCUGUCCGCAGAAUCGGGAAUGUAGUUACCAGCGGCCAUGAUGAGAGGGUUGUCCUGCCGUGCCGUUUUAUCGAAAUGGAACACGUUCUCGAAUGACGUCCACGAUAAAAUAGAGUACUAAAAAUCAAACCCGCAAAACUUUUUAUUUCUGUAAUACCGGUAGCAGGGAGUCUUGUGAGCCAACACGGGAAGGUAACAACAUCCUGCCUAUUUCUGCCGCCAAGCAGUAAUGCGUUCCAGUUUGAAGGGUAGGGCAGCCGUUGUAGAUACUACAUAUAUAAAGUGAACUUAGAACUGGUGGUAGGACCUCUUAUGAGUUCGCGCGGGUGGGUACCACCACCCUGCCUAUUUCUGCCGUGAAGCAGUAAUGCGUUUCGGUUUGAAGGGUGGGGCAGCCGUCGUUACUGUACUUGAGACCUUAGAACUUGUAUCUCAGGGUGGGUGGCGCAUUUACGUUGUGGAUGUUUAUGGGCUCCAGUAACCACUUAACACCAGGUGGGCUGUGAGCUCGUCCACCAAUCUAAGCAAUAAAAAAAAAAAAAAAGAACUCAUGUCUCAAGGGGGGUGGCGACAUUUAUGUUGAAGAUUUGAAGAAUGAGGCGACCGUUAUACAAUGUAUAGUUACAUAUGUUACGUGUUUUAUAUAAUACAAUAAAUACAUAGGAGAUUUGCAAUUUCUAUGGGUUCCUAUAAUCACUUAUCACUCGCCGGUCGUGAGCUCAUAUACUUACUCAUUUAACAUAUAAUAUAAAGAUAUCUAAUAUUAUUCUAGACAUAAAAUUUAAGAAUUUAAGUUCCAGUACCACUGGUAUUUUAUGUACGUAGACGGAAACGAAUCCAAUGAAGAUAAUUUAUACACCUAAAAAUCGUUCACAGGUUUAUGUAUAUUUUUCUACGCAAUGUUUCAACGUACCUUAAUCUCCACAGUAGCUCAUCUAAUUAUAUUUAAACACGGUUAUCAGGGAUGUGGUGUAACAUGAUAAGCCUGAUAUACGACGUACUUUGUGGAUGACAAAUGGAAAUUAUGAAUGAAUUACAAUAGGGCGCGUAUUUGAGUUAUAUGGUCAAAAAACGGAUAACUCCUUGAAGCUUAAUUUAUGCUGUCAAAAUUAUAUGUUAAUAUUUUUUAAAUAAACUAUUUGAAAUUCGA
Long non-coding RNA from Bombyx mori (domestic silkworm), 2242 nucleotides. RefSeq lists it as uncharacterized. The record is from RefSeq and is a predicted model, not a curated record. The transcript is spliced from 2 exons. Lineage: Eukaryota; Metazoa; Arthropoda; Insecta; Lepidoptera; Bombycidae.